UACAGAGGGUGCGAGCGUUAAUCGGAAUUACUGGGCGUAAAGCGCGCGUAGGCGGCUUUGCAAGUCGGGUGUGAAAUCCCCAGGCUUAACCUGGGAAUGGCAUUUGGGACUGCAAGGCUCGAGUGCGGCAGAGGAGACUGGAAUUCCUGGUGUAGCAGUGAAAUGCGUAGAUAUCAGGAGGAACACCGAUGGCGAAGGCAGGUCUUUGGGCUGACACUGACGCUCAUGCACGAAAGCGUGGGGAGCAAACGGG
RNAcentral lists this ribosomal RNA (253 nucleotides) under uncultured bacterium. Its description in RNAcentral is "partial 16S ribosomal RNA". It matches the Rfam family "Bacterial small subunit ribosomal RNA", at positions 524 to 776 of the family's 1533-position model. The record is from RNAcentral.